This 1252-nucleotide long non-coding RNA is filed under the name Mytilus galloprovincialis (Mediterranean mussel). Lineage: Eukaryota; Metazoa; Mollusca; Bivalvia; Mytilida; Mytilidae. The record is from RNAcentral.
AAAAAACAAGACCAAACUUAACCUGUGUCACGCAGUACCAAACUAGUAAGAAGAUGUGCAUCUUUUGUGCCAAUACAUUCAAAAAUACCAAAGUUUAUUAAGAUAAUAAAAACCUGUUUUAGUUUCUGCUAAAUAUACCUUCAAAAUAUUGACUAAACUUCAACAAUUGGAUAAUUUGAUUUUGGCUGUUCUGUUUAUGCCCUAUUCAGUGUUAAUGCUCCCAUUUGAUUUGAUUUUUUUGCUUUCCUACUUUUUGAACUUGAGCGUUCCUGAUGAAGGUUAAUCCAGAAAAGCGAUUCAGACGCAGUAAAAUUGGCAUCUGUUUUUUAAUUUGGAAAGAACGCAAAAAAAGAGAGUACACAUCUUCAAUAUUUAUCUCAUGACUAUGCAAAGUAUCAUGAUUUUGGAAUUAAGAUUUUAUACCUUAAAAUCUUAAAAAAUAAAAAUGUAUAACAAGUGUAAAAGAAAAUAUCCAUAACAAGUUAAGAUUUUAUACCUUAAAAUCUUAAAAAAUAAAAAUGUAAUAAGAAACUGGACUAUAAAAAAACAAGACCAAACUUAACCUGUGUCACGCAGUACCAAACUAGUAAGAAGAUGUGCAUCUAAUUUGGAAAGAACGCAAAAAAAGAGAGUACACAUCUUCAAUAUUUAUCUCAUGACUAUGCAAAGUAUCAUGAUUUUGGAAUAAAGUUCCAGAUUUAGAUUACACACAGUAGGUACCAAUUAAAACAAUAUUUCCAGAAAAUGGCUGCAUUCAAUACAUGAAAAUUUGACAAAUAAUUUUAAGAAUCUGCCUAAUAUAGGAAGUGUACAUCUUCAAUAUUUAUCCAAUAACUAUGCAUAUUUUUAAGAAUGUCGAAUUAAUGCUUUUGGAGUUACAGAUUACACAAGGUAAGGCUAUAUCAGUCUUUGGCCAGACAGAGUUGCCCUUCUUUCGCCUUCGGUGACACAGGUUAAAAAAAACAUUCAGAAACAACAACUUUCAGACACAGGGACGGACAAGGUGACACUUAUAUAGUAUUAUACUCAAUAAUAUGAACAUCAAAAUGUUAUAAAAUUAAAUGCAUUUAAACUUGUUUCACUUGAACAUUUACAAAGGUUUAACAUCUGAAGAUUUUAAGUCUUUUGCAAAUAUCUUUUCGGCAGAUUGGACAGUUAUCUAACAUUUUCGCACAAUCCAUACACAUUGCCAAAUGGUUGCAUGGUGAAACUAGGCAAUCCGAUUCACUGUCCAUACAAAUCUUGCAUUCUG